GUGCUCACUUUGGCAGCACAUAUAUUUAAAUUUUUAAACAAGGAGAUUAGCAUGUCCCCUGCACAAAUAUGACAGGCAGAAACAGUUAAAACAAGGAAAUAAUG
Jaculus jaculus (lesser Egyptian jerboa) is the source of this 104-nucleotide small nuclear RNA. Lineage: Eukaryota; Metazoa; Chordata; Mammalia; Rodentia; Dipodidae. The record is from RefSeq and is a predicted model, not a curated record.